GCCGCGCCCCCUCGGGCGCGAGGCUGGAGUAGCGAUUGCUGGAGCCUCUGCGGCCCGCCCCGAGCGCGCCCCACGCCCCAGUGCCCGGCAACUUGGCCGCGCAGAUCCAGGACGGGUCUCGCCCUAAUUUUUCUCCGGGAGCUGAAGUAAGGGGAGGCCAAGAUUCCAAACGCCCCCAAAUGCUUCCAAAGGAGAAAGCCACACCACACCGGCUUUCAGGAUCUUCGUUCCCCAACCAGGGAUGGAACCUGGGCCCCAGCAGUGAAAGCGCUGAGUCCUAACCACUGGACCACCAGUUUUGUCUCCCACAAUCCAUUCUCCUUACUGAAGUUUGUGAUGUUAAAAAAAAAAACAACAAAAAGAACCAGAAAUUUGGGACUUCCCUGGUGGCGCAGUGGUUAAGAACCCGCCUGCCAAUGCAGGGGACACAGUUUCAAUCCCUGGUCCAGGAAGAUCGCACAUGCUGAGGAGCAACUAAGCCCAUGUGCCACUACUACUGAGCCCGCAUGCCACAACUACUGAAGCUCACGCACCUAGAGCCCAUGCUCCACAACAAGAGAAGCCACUGCAAUGAGAAGCCCGCGCACCACAACGAAGAGUAACCCCUGCUCGCCGCAACUAGAGAAAGCCCGUGCACAGCAACGAAGACCCAAGGCAGCCAAAAAUAAAUAAAUAUAUAAAUGUAUUAAAAUGUAAAAAUCUGUAUUAAAAAAACCAGAAAUUUCAUCAGACCACUCCCUUGCUUAGAAUCUUUUAAAGGAUUUU
Molecule: long non-coding RNA, 765 nt
Organism: Lagenorhynchus albirostris (white-beaked dolphin)
Lineage: Eukaryota; Metazoa; Chordata; Mammalia; Artiodactyla; Delphinidae
Exons: 3
Source: RefSeq, a predicted model, not a curated record